Molecule: ribosomal RNA, 433 nt
Filed under: uncultured bacterium
Lineage: Bacteria
Description: partial 16S ribosomal RNA
Rfam family: Bacterial small subunit ribosomal RNA
Source: RNAcentral
AACGAACGCUGGCGGCAUGCCUAACAUAUGCAAGUCGAACGAGACCUUCGGGUCUAGUGGCGCACGGGUGCGUAACGCGUGGGAACCUGCCCUUAGGUUCGGAAUAACUCCCCGAAAGGGGUGCUAAUACCGGAUAAUGUCUUCGGACCAAAGAUUUAUCGCCUUUGGAUGGGCCCGCGUUGGAUUAGCUAGUUGGUAGGGUAAAAGCCUACCAAGGCGACGAUCCAUAGCUGGUCUGAGAGGAUGAUCAGCCACACUGGGACUGAGACACGGCCCAGACUCCUACGGGAGGCAGGAGUGGGGAAUAUUGGACAAUGGGCGAAAGCCUGAUCCAGCAAUGCCGCGUGAGUGAUGAAGGCCUUAGGGUUGUAAAGCUCUUUUACCCGGGAUGAUAAUGACAGUACCGGGAGAAUAAGCUCCGGCUAACUCCGUG